GAAAUGCGAUACUUGGUGUGAAUUGCAGAAUCCCGUGAACCAUCGAGUCUUUGAACGCAAGUUGCGCCCGAAGCCAUUAGGCCGAGGGCACGCCUGCCUGGGUGUCACACAUCGUUUCCCCAACGCAAUGCCCUCAUGGACCCUAUAAACGGAGCGCACGACGCUUCUACCGCGACCCCAGGUCAGGCGGGACUACCCGCUGAAUUUAA
Molecule: unclassified non-coding RNA, 209 nt
Filed under: uncultured fungus
Lineage: Eukaryota; Fungi
Description: sequence contains ITS1
Rfam family: 5.8S ribosomal RNA (bases 1-107)
About the family: 5.8S ribosomal RNA (5.8S rRNA) is a component of the large subunit of the eukaryotic ribosome. It is transcribed by RNA polymerase I as part of the 45S precursor that also contains 18S and 28S rRNA.
Source: RNAcentral